This is a non-coding RNA of Immersiella caudata, 106 nucleotides long. NCBI's taxonomy places the organism in Eukaryota, Fungi, Ascomycota, Sordariomycetes, Sordariales, Lasiosphaeriaceae. The record is from the annotation of a GenBank genome assembly.
GGCACCAUGGCAGAGUGGUUAUUGCGUUAGAUUUAAGAAAGUUGAACAGAUCUUCUUAAAAUCUCUAAUCUCGAGAGAGGCGUGGGUUCGAACCCCACUGGUGUCA